This is a long non-coding RNA of Oncorhynchus masou masou (cherry salmon), 1534 nucleotides long. RefSeq lists it as uncharacterized. The transcript is spliced from 3 exons. NCBI's taxonomy places the organism in Eukaryota, Metazoa, Chordata, Actinopteri, Salmoniformes, Salmonidae. The record is from RefSeq and is a predicted model, not a curated record.
UCCUGCUGUAAAUCGAAUUCUGUAACGUUAGCAUAGUUUAGCAAACGUUAAGCAGAUUUUACAUCUUAAUUUUAAUAUACAUUUUAGUGGUACUAACAUUAACAACAUUACUGAAUUGACUGGUGGCAGCCUGCAUCACAUAGAAGAUGAACAGGGGGACUGGGGAAACAGAUUGAAGAAGGUGGAACAACUAGCUCAGUCCUUCCAGCAGUGGCCUUUGUCCUCUCGCUUCAAACCAAGGCUGUCCCGGCCAUGGCAGCCAUCCUCUAUAUGGAAGCUUUUCCCCCGUCAAUGUAUGGCUAUCAACAUUGCACGCACCAGCAUCUCUGCAGUAACGUGGUGCCAUAUCGGUUUGUGCUGUCAUGUAUGACAUUUGACCACAGGAUUUGACAAGACGACACAAACAGAUCUGUGAGCAGGCUACUGUAUGUCCGGAGGACUUUGUUCCCUUUUGUGUGACAUUGCACUUCCAUGUUUUUAUUUUUAAUUUUUAUUUUACCUUUAUUUAACCAGGCAAGUCAGUUAAGAACAAAUUCUUGUUUUCAAUGACGGCCUAGGAACAGUGGGUUAACUGCCUGUUCAGGGGCAGAACGACAGAUUUGUACCUUGUCAGCUCGGGGGUUUGAACUUGCAACCUUCUGGUUACUAGUCCAACGCUCUAACCACUAGGCUACCCUGUGUCAUAAUAACAAAAAAAAAAUGACAUUUGUUUUCAGCUAACUGUAGUUUUGACUGCCCUCUACUUCAAAGGACAUACAUGUGUUUGCACUUGAGAAGGAACAGGCCAAGAUGGGUGGGAGGAUCUUCCUGUUCACCAGUUACAGUGAGCUAUGGCAUAACUACAGUAUGUGUGUGAGAAGCUGGAGGAGGUGUAUGGGAUUGAACCUUGAAUCCAGUACAGAAGAAAAAUUCAGUUGCCAUCUCAUCAACAAACUAGAAUGGUCCAAACACACCAAGACAGUUGUGAAGAGGGCACGACAAAGCCUAUUCCCCCUCAGGAAACUAAAAAGAUUUGGCAUGGGUCCUGAGAUCCUCAAAAGGUUCUCCAGCUGCAACAUCGAGAGCAUCCUGACUGGUUGCAUCCCUGCCUGGUACGGCAAUUGCUCGGCCUCUGACCACAAGGCACUACAGAGGGUAGUGCAUACGGCCCAGUACACCACUGGGGCUAAGCUGCCUGCCAUCCAGGACCUCUACACCAGGCGGUGUCAGAGGAAGGCCCUAAAAAUUGUCAAAGACCCCACCCCUAAACUGUUCUCUCUACUACCAGAGUGCCAAGUCUAGGACAAAAAGGCUUCUCAACAGUUUUUACUCCUGAUCAGGUAAUCAAAUGGCUACCCAGACUAUUUGUAUUGUGUGCCCCCCAACACUUCUUUUUACACUGUUGCUACUCUCUGUUUAUCAUAUAUGCAUAGUCACUUUAACUAUACAUUCAUGUACAUACUACCUCAAUCAGCCUGACUAACCGGUGUCUGUAUGUAGCCUCGCUACUUUUAUAGCCUCGCUACUGUAUAUAGCCUGUCUUUUUACUGUUGUU